AUCCAUGCUCAGGGCUGGGCGACCAUGG
RNAcentral lists this unclassified non-coding RNA (28 nucleotides) under Mus musculus (house mouse). RNAcentral's name for it is "oocyte_clustered_small_RNA8046". The record is from RNAcentral. Lineage: Eukaryota; Metazoa; Chordata; Mammalia; Rodentia; Muridae.